AUAUAUACAGUGUUGAGAGUAUGCAUCAAUUGUGGGAUUGUAUAGGACUCACUUGCACAUAGUUAUAUCGCAAUUCUUUGACUCUUUCUGAAUUGCGUUCAAA
Coregonus clupeaformis (lake whitefish) is the source of this 103-nucleotide long non-coding RNA. RefSeq lists it as uncharacterized. The record is from RefSeq and is a predicted model, not a curated record. The transcript is spliced from 3 exons. NCBI's taxonomy places the organism in Eukaryota, Metazoa, Chordata, Actinopteri, Salmoniformes, Salmonidae.